GUGGCUGGACGAUCAGUCGGGAAACCAUCUAGGAAUCUUUGUCAUCCACAUGGCAAUUUCCUCGGGAGUUUAAGCCA
Legionella tucsonensis is the source of this 77-nucleotide regulatory RNA element. It matches the Rfam family "RAGATH-32 RNA". Rfam says of the family: Legionellales (_-Proteobacteria). Nearby to self-cleaving ribozyme genes NCBI's taxonomy places the organism in Bacteria, Pseudomonadati, Pseudomonadota, Gammaproteobacteria, Legionellales, Legionellaceae. The record is from Rfam.